Small nucleolar RNA from Ceratina calcarata, 85 nucleotides. RefSeq annotates it as small nucleolar RNA snR60/Z15/Z230/Z193/J17. Lineage: Eukaryota; Metazoa; Arthropoda; Insecta; Hymenoptera; Apidae. The transcript has a single exon. The record is from RefSeq and is a predicted model, not a curated record.
AAAUAAUAAAUUAUGAUGAGUGCAUAGUUCAACGGAUUUCUAAUGAAGAUUGAAAAUUGUCUUUCGCUCCUAUCUGAUAAUAUUC